AACGCACCUUGCGCUCUUUGGUAUUCCGAAGAGCAUGCCUGUUUGAGUGUCAUGAAAAUAUCAACCUUGACUUGGGUUUAGUGCUCUUGUCUUGGCUUGGAUUUGGCUGUUUGCCGCUCGAAAGAGUCGGCUCAGCUUAAAUGUAUUAGCUGGAUCUGUCUUUGAGACUUGGUUUGACUUGGCGUAAUAAGUAUUUCGCUAAGGACAUUCUUCGGAGUGGCCUCGUUUCUAGGACGCUUGUCCGCUUUCCAAUACAAGUUCCACCUCGUGGACAUGACUUUUUAUUAUCUGGCCUCAAAUCAGGUAGGACUACCCGCUGAACUUAA
This 326-nucleotide unclassified non-coding RNA is filed under the name Camptobasidium sp. Its description in RNAcentral is "partial contains 5.8S ribosomal RNA, internal transcribed spacer 2, and large subunit ribosomal RNA". The stretch from base 1 to 52 matches the Rfam family "5.8S ribosomal RNA", at positions 103 to 154 of the family's 154-position model. The record is from RNAcentral. Lineage: Eukaryota; Fungi; Basidiomycota; Microbotryomycetes; Kriegeriales; Camptobasidiaceae.